Long non-coding RNA from Cyprinus carpio carpio, 5489 nucleotides. The record is from Ensembl. NCBI's taxonomy places the organism in Eukaryota, Metazoa, Chordata, Actinopteri, Cypriniformes, Cyprinidae.
AUGCAAAUCUCUGUCUUUUGUUGUUGUUGUUGUUGUAGAAUUACAACCAUGAAUGCUGUAAAUGCUGUUCAACUGUUCAUUCUGCUUUGGACCUUUACUGCUGUCUGUCAAGCUAAAAAUUUCAAUGUAAGCUGUGAUGAUGUGACUGGAUUCGUUGGGAAAAAAGUAAAUCUCACCUGCAGAGUCUCUCAGCAGUGUGAUAAAUACUGCUUGAAAAUGUAUAAGUUUAAAUACCCUAAUGACACAGCAAUCUGUAAACAAGAGCCUCCUGUGGACUCCUGUGAUGAGAGUAAGAGCUUCACAUGCAGCUACACUCCAACUACUCCAAUGACAGAAAAAUUCAGAUUCUUUGCCCAAGCAAACUGCGAUAUGGACACAAAAGAAUUCACUGUGAACAUAGCAGUUUUAUUAAAAGAAGAUGAUCCUAAAUAUAAGGAUACUGCCAUCACUGCAGCUGUGGGCUGUUUCAGCAUCAUUCUCAUCAUCAUCAUCAUCAUGACAGUCAUUUGGAAAAUCACCAAAUCUUGUGGAUUCCAGAAGAGGAAAUUUCUUUGCAUCAAAUAUGAUGAGAACAACACCACUCCUCGAGAAGAUGUGAUAUAACAGCAUUGAAUCAGCAGUACGAGUUCUCAUGUGGUGCUCAUGAAACACACAAACUCUAUUUAAACACCACUAUAAACUACAUACUCUACUAUCUGUUGUAUCUCAAACUACUUAAUAUAUAACUCUGGAUGUUGGUUUAAAACUCUGUUUCUGUUUUAUACAAGUUUCUGUGAAAUAACAGCAUAUUAUUGAUCUGUUUGAUCAGUUUGUAUAUUUGUAUAUGUGACUUUAAUGAACCCGUGCCUUUGUGAACUUUAAGAGGAAACUCAAACUGUUUUGCUGUUUUUUUCAGAAUUUCAAGGAAUGUCUAUAAUGAAUGUCAAUGUAUUAAUGUUAAUAUAACUCAAGUUGGGAAAUGAUUUCUUAAUAUUUUGCCAUACGAUUUUCUAAUAGUGUAAAUGGUGUGGUUUUGUACAGUGCCUUUUAAAUGAAUAAAGACUUGUGAUGCUCUCUGAAGAUGAAUAUCUGUUUAUGGGUAAGUUAUACUUGUUAAACUAGUUAAGUGGGCAAGGAGUAAAAAGAGCUGAUCUUGUAUGUAUACAUUAUUUGUGUAAGACAAAUUUCAUAAUCUUAUUAUGCAGGAAAUCUUUAGAUACUUGAGGUUUUUACAUUUGCAUUCAAGGUUAAUAUUUGAUCAGUUUAUGCAUCCAGUAGUAUAACCGGCUGCUAACGUCACUGCUUACUGUUUGAGCGACUGACUGAGAAAUGAUAGCUGUUCUGGGAAAGAGAACAAAAUGAUCCUACAGCUGAUAAAAGCAAACACCUGUCACGUGACGAGCAUUCGGAGACAUGAAAAUCACUCAUUCCAUCAAUAGCCAGUCAGCUGAGACCAAAAAAAAGAAAAAACCUUGAGUGUGUUGUCAACAGGUGUAAACAUGGCAGAUGAACCACUGACUGAUUUCACAACACAAAUAAAUACUUAAUGUCAUUUUAUUGUAAAUGUUUAUUGUGCACUCACUGAUAUCAGUUUUUCAGUGUCUGAUAAUUAAUAUCUAUAAUUUUGUUUGUUUAAUUGAAUCAAGUCAAGCAUUUUAUUUCUGUACUGAUUUAUUAUAAUACAGAUGAUUUCAAAGCAGCUUUACAGUGAUAAACAGGAAAUAAUGAUUCAGUGAUGCAAACUGAGAUCAAUUCUGCUGUAAAGCAGCUCUAGAAAGACAGUAAACAGUCACUGAGCACGUUUACAUGCAAGUUCUUAAGCCGAUCAUGCUUAAUAAGCAGAAAAUGCACUUGGUCAUGUAAACACAGUAACCUGUUUUCUUUUAUCGGAGCAAGGUCAUAAACGGUGUAAGCAUAAACCGGUCGCAACAGGUAGUUUUUUGCCUCUUAUUCCAAUUUCGCAUGGCAUGUAAAUGCAAUAACCCGCUUUCUGUGGGCUUAUUGAAGUGUGUAUGUGAUAGGCUACGUGACAGGAACGCAUCAUUAGUGCAGAGUGUGCUUUCACACUUGGUUCACUUGCCUGGUCCGAACCCGAGUUUGAUUGCUCCCCCUCCCCCUGCCCCCACUGGACUGCGUUAAUAUUAUAUUAUUUGGGUCCAAACCGUGGUUCGUUUGCGACAUCACGCCAGCAGCUGUUUACCCUUUUGCUUAGUAAUGAUGGCACAGGAGAAAGGCAUCACAUUGCUCUCUGCACUUUUAUAUAUUUACGUUUUUGAACCGUUAGCUUUGUUUACAAGGCUUUGGUACAUAAUGGCACUUACGUCUGUCUUACGAAUGUACUGCAACUGCUCUAAAAAACGCUGAAGGCGAACAGAAAUGAGAUAUACAGCUCUCUGUUUGCAGCGUGUCAGUCACACUCAUCAGGAAAGUGAGUGAAACACACACACAAACACACAUUUCUAUCAAAUAAUACAUCAUUAAUAGCCGUUCACUUCUGCGAUUUGGUACGAUUGCUUACACAUCAGCAGCGAUCCGUACUGGAGUUCACAUGAACCGUACUCCAGACCAUCCUUUUUAAGCGGACUCGGUUCGGAAGACAGCGUUCACAUCAACCAAACGAACCGAACUCUGACGUCAAUCGAACCCGGGUGCGCACCAAAAGUGGUAGUAUGAAAGCACCCUUAAGCGCAUCUAGACCGAGCAAACGUCUUGCAGUAAACAAAGAAGGAAAUAGAUAUCACAAAAGCAGACUUUUUCAUGACUCAGAAAAUGAAUAAAAAAAGUGUUCUUAUCUCGUGCAGCAGAAGUGGAAGUGGUUCAGCCACAAUGCUGCAUUUAUAACUGCAUGAGAGGAUAAUGUAUGAGCUGUACGUUUCCCGACGUGUUGCAAGUUGACAUGUUGUAAGCUUAAUUUAACAUCACAACUGACAAAUGUAUGGAAUACUCGGAGUCAGAUAACGCAAAUUAUUAUAUGUUGACGUCACUACAGGGAAAUAACCUGAUUUAUUAAUGAAGUCAUGUAAACGCAGCUUACUUGCGUUAUCAGCUUACUGGUGUGCAUGUAAACGUGCUCAAUAUUCAGUUAAAAUCAAUUCAUUGGUGAUUCAGUUUGAUUCAAUAACUUUGUAGUGAGCUUAAUUUCUAGCUCUUCAGAUCUAGCUUCACUUAAUUCAUUCAUUUCAAUUCAUUUCUCUGAGUCUGAAUCACCGCAGACCUUCUCUUUCCACUUCCCAGAUAUGUUUCGUAAUUUCAUCAGUCAGUCACGCAACAACAAUAAAACUAAUGACAGACUGGUGACAGGUAGGUGCAGUGCAUGAGCUGGAGAAACCAUGAUAAUAUAUGUGAAUCAUAUUUAUACAGCUUUUAAGUGCCAGCUGAUAUCAAAUUAAAUAUAGAUUUACUGUUUAUUUAAGCAACUGAGAAGCAACUGCAUUACAGUACGGGAGAGUGGGGUAAGAUGAGCCAUGUCUUAUUUAUGUGGUCCUCAAGAUAAGGGAAAAUGACGCAGAAGUACAGUAUGAAAGUAUCUAAAGUAAUUUCAGGAUGUUUACUAUCAUUAAAAAUUAUCAGAAUGUAUCUAUGGCAAAGGGUUCUAAAAAUAUGGCUUCUUAUAAAAAAGUGUUUCUGUGGCUUAAUUUGCCCCCAGGGUGGGUAUAAACUGACCAUCUGAUUCAAACCUUUUUUAAAAACUAAUUUAAUAAUCACAUUUCCUUUUUCAAACAGUCAUAUUUCUUUUCUUAAAGCUAAGUUAAACAACAACAAAAAACAACCAAAUGAAGUUUAAAUUUCAACCUUUAAUUGUUUGCAUUUCUGAAACAAUAUGUUAAACACCAAAGUUGUAAUCUUCCCAAAAACCGACUAAACAGAGAGCUUGUUGAGCAAAAUGAGAGAAAACCGAAUUAGAAUGAAGGAAUAAAUGUCACAGAAUCUAAAAAACAUUUUUGUCACAGGAUUAUUGGCAUGGUAGCUUUUCUGCAAUGUUGAACCGGUCAUUAGGGACAGGGGGUAUAUCAUUUUUUGAGGUUUUUGUUUCCUGUGCGCCUUUUUAUCCAUCUUUCGUGAAGAAUGGAGCUGCGUUGAGUGUGAAUGCAUGUUUGAUAGUAUUUUAAAUCCGUAAAUCAUUUCUGCUAAGUUUUCAGUAAAUUGUCAUCUUUAAAGUCUCCGUCUACUCUCUGAUCUCUAGUACUUCCUUAUUAGUCCUAUAAACUUCAUUUCUGAUGCAAAUUUCUGUAUUAUUAUUAUUUUUUUUUUCUAUUGCAGAAUCACAACCAUGAAUACUGUAAAUGCUGUGCAACUGUUCAUUCUGAUUUGGAACUUUUCUGCAGUCUGUCAAACCGAUAAUGGUUGAAGAUUAAAAAUCCCCCAGAAAUUGUGUGUGAAAUUUUAAAGGAGGGACUAAAUCUAAGAUAAUAAAAAUGCCAGUUGCAUGUCACUAUGUUAAGUGUGUCUAGUCUAUGUGUCUGAAGAACCAGUUAAACCAACAGUUAGCAGUUAUUCAAGAAAUAAUCAGCUCACUAUUCUGAACCAGAUUGGGUCUAUCUACCUUUUUGUGACUGAGUUUAACAGUUCUGACCAUAGUCUCUUGUUAGCAUCACAACGUUAAAUGGAAAUAAACAAUUUAAUUGUUUAAGGUGUAAGAAGGUUUCCAAAUAGUAAGACAUCUCUCAAGAUAUUUAAAUCAGACAGAUCAAGAAAUCAGUUUUAUCAGAUUCUCAGCAGUAAAUUCACAUUGUGAGGUCUGUGUGGAGAAUCGGAAACAGUCUGCAGUUUGAUAAGCUAAAUUUGUUUUUAUGAUUUAAGCAAUGAUGUUAUAAAAGAUUUUAAAUGUGUUUACAGAGGAAGCUUUAAACAAAAAGCUAUCAGGAACAUCUCUUUAUACCACACUCAGCAGCAGGUCACGAAUCAAGGCUUCUGCCGUCGCUGCAAUUGUGGGCUGCUUCAUCCUCAUCAUCCUCAUACUCAUCACAAUGACUAUCAUUCACAACAAGAAACCAAACUUCAUCAAAUCUUGUGGAUUUCAGAAGAGGAUGUUUCUGUGCAUCAAACAUGAAGAGAACAACAGCCAUCAUCCAGAAGAUGUGAUCUAAUAUCACUGACUCAGCAGUACAAGUUCUCAUGUGGUGCUCAUAAAACACACAAGCUCUAUUUAAACUCCACUAAACUACAUAAUCUACUAGAUUUUAUAUCUGAAACUACUGAAUAUAUAACUCUGGAUGUUGGUUUAAAACUCUGUUUCUGUUUUAUAUUGAUUUCUGUGAAAUAACAGCAUAUUAUUGAUCUGUUUGAUCAGUGUGUAUAUUUGUUUAUGUGACUUUGAUGACCUCGAUCCUCUGUGAACUUUAAGAGGAAACACAGCAGAACUCAAACUGUGUUUGGUUUUGCUCUUUUUUUUCUGACUUUCAAGGAAUGUCUGUAAUUAAUGUCAGUUUUGCAUUUGGUAGAGUGAAUCUUAAUAUAGCUUAAGUUUGGAAAUGAUUUCUUAAUAUUUUGCACAUGCAUUUUCCUAAUAG